AAAUUAAAAAAUUAGCCAGGCAUGGUGGUAUAUGCCUAUAGUCCCAGCUUCCUGGGAAGCUAAGGUGGGAGGAUCUCUUGAACCUGGGAGGUCAAGGCUGCAGUGAGCUGUGAUUGCACCACUGUACUCCAGCUUGGGCAACAGAGUGAGAUUAAAAAAAAACAAAAGACAUCUUGAAAUGCUCCUCUAUUGUACUACCAUACUAAUAGUGUCAAGUAAAAGCCAUCUUAAAUGUUUUUUGGGAAGCUUUAGUAGAGAGAAUGUACUGCACUUUUUUCACUUUUUUAUUUUAUCCCACAAAGCAGGGGUCCCCAACACCCUGGCCAUGGACUGGUACUGGUCCGUGGCCUGUUAGGAACUGAGCCACACAGGAAUAGGUGAGCAGCAGGUGAGUGAGCAAAACUUCAUCUGUAUUUACAGCCACUCCGCAUUGCUUGCAUUAUGGCCUGAGCUCUGCCUCCUGUCAGAACAGCGGCAGCAUUAGAUUCUGACAGGAGUGCAAACCCUAUUGUGACCUGCACAUGUGUGGGAUCUAGGUUGUGUGCUCCUUACAAGAAUCUAAUGCCUGGGCCGGGCAUGGUGGCUCAAGCCUGUAAUCCCAGCACUUUGGGAGGCCGAGGCGGGUGGAUUACGAGAUCAAGAGAUUGAGACCAUCCUGGUCAACAUGGUGAAACCCCGUCUCUACUAAAAAUACAAAAAAUUAGCUGGGCAUGGUGGCAUGUGCCUGUAAUCCCAGCUACUUGGAUGGCUGAGGCAGGAGAAUUGCCUGAACCCAGGAGGCAGAGGUUGCGGUGAGCCGAGAUCGUGCCAUUGCACUCCAGCCUGGGUAACAAGAGUGAAACUCCGUCUCAAAAAAAAAAAAAAAAAAAAAAGAAUCUAAUGCCUGAUGAUCUGUCACUGUCUCCCACCAUCUAGUUGCAGGAAAAUAAGCUCAGGGCUCCCACUGACUCUACAUUAUGGAGACAUGUAUAUGAGGAGAACACUAGGUGAACAUGAAGACUGUCAUCUACAAGCCAAGAGAUGCCAGGAGCAGGUCCUUCAGAGCCCUCAGAAGGAACCAACUCUGCUGGCACCUUGAUUUUGGACUUCCAGCCUCCAGAACUGUGAGACCAUACAUUUCUGUUGUUUAAGUCACCCAGUCUGUGACACUUUGUUAGGCAGAUGUUUAGGGGCGAAAACAUCUUCUGUGUGGACUAGUCGUUUGGCAAGAUAAAGCCCCCCAAUACUAUUUUGGAAACCCUGAAUGCAUCUUUUAUCCUUUUUGUAGAUAGAGAAUAAUUAAAAUGUAGGGAAUAGGAUUCUGUUGUUUCAAAAAUUUUGGACAAAUUGAAAAUAACAGUAGUUCAAGAAUUUAGGAUCAACAGUGUAAGCAUUUUAAAUUCAUGGCAAGUAAGACUUGGCGCAUAGCAUAACUAAGUUGUCUUCUGUGCCUCUCAGACUAAUAU
Molecule: long non-coding RNA, 1445 nt
Filed under: Callithrix jacchus (white-tufted-ear marmoset)
Lineage: Eukaryota; Metazoa; Chordata; Mammalia; Primates; Cebidae
Description: lncRNA (ENSCJAG00000073075.1)
Source: RNAcentral